Long non-coding RNA from Triticum aestivum (bread wheat), 637 nucleotides. RefSeq lists it as uncharacterized. The transcript has 3 exons. Lineage: Eukaryota; Viridiplantae; Streptophyta; Magnoliopsida; Poales; Poaceae. The record is from RefSeq and is a predicted model, not a curated record.
AAUCACUCACCCAUCCAUCCAUCCCAAGACCCCCUCGCAUGAACCUCCCUAGCUUGCCAUCGACCACACUAAUGGCCUUCUCUACGAUUGCGCCGCCCAUCCUGGUCAGGUGCGCAGGUGCGCCUUCAUGGCAUUAGAUGGCCAAGCCCAACUUCCCCUCUGUGAUUGCUACUUCGACGGGUUACGUCCCAUGUUGGAGUAGCACCAGAAGGCCGAACAACAAGCAGUGGAUUGGUGUUCCAAUCUUUGAAGAGCCCCUGACCGGAGUUGAAGUUGCAGGAAGCACAUAAGAAGUUUGGAAGAAGCAUCACAUAUGUCUGCAUGGCAACAGUGCAGGGGACUAGGUCCUCGCACUUUUGAUUGCAGUGCAUGUCACUGGCCGCGGUAGAUGGUGUGGAGCUUACUGACCAUCAUAGAAGCAAAUUUUAUAUUUAGCGGAGACAGAUGAUCAUCACCAUGGAAGCACUCCCCUUGUUAUUUUAUAUGUUAUAGUUUUUCUUUUUCUUUGUAAUGGUUGUAUGGAAGCAAUUCUUCUAGUCUAUGAAAAUAAUAUCAUGAUGAUCUGGAAGAAAAGUAUAUAUCUCUCCAAGCAAGGCAUCAAUUUUGUUGCAAGAAGGCAAAUUCUGAGUUCUUUCGG